CGGGGCGUAGCGCAGUUGGUUUAGCGCGCCACGUUCGGGACGUGGAGGUCGCUGGUUCGAAUCCAGUCGCCCCGACCA
RNAcentral lists this transfer RNA (78 nucleotides) under bacterium. RNAcentral describes it as "tRNA-Pro". It matches the Rfam family "tRNA". Rfam says of the family: Transfer RNA (tRNA) molecules are approximately 80 nucleotides in length. The record is from RNAcentral.